UAAGCUGUUCAUUAACAUUCAUUAUUGUUUUGGGUAAAGUUAUUUGUAACCAGGGCAAUGAAUUGCUCAGAAAUAGUAGAGGCAAAAAUGUCAGAAGCAAAAGGAGGUUAAGUAGUUGAUAGCUGAAACAUUUUGUGGUAAUUUAGGAAAAAUAGGUUUAAUAAUUUUUAGUAUGGAGACCUUUCAUUAGUUGGUUAACUAAAAACGACAAGAGUAAUAUGAUCAGAGAAAUUUGUUGGUUAUAAUAGUUUAAAAUUCUAAGAUGAGCAUGUAACAGAGCCAAAGAUUAUUGAAGAGAAUGGCAAUUUUGUCUUUACACCAGCUGUUAAGUAAGUUCCCUUUCCAUAGUAAAAUAAUGGUUUUAAUUCCUUUCAAAAUGUGAAGGUGUAAAUUUUAGAUUAAGUUACUCUUGGAUAUUAGGAAGUGUCCUGUCCAAGAUGAUACUGAUACUGUGUUCUUGAGAUAGGCAAUACUCUGGUUAUAUUAUAUAAAUACUCUGGUUAUAUUAUUUAAUUUAGUAACAUCUAAAAGCCAAGGAGCUUGGCACUCAAAACUUGAGUGCAGUUAACUUUAUCUGUAUCACUGAGGUUCGUGUAAAAUAACGGAAAAAAUUGAUACUAUUUCUUUUAGUCAUUUUUGUUUGUCAUCGUAAAAAUGAAUGCAAAUAAGUCGCAGGAAGUUUUUAAGCAAGGUGGAUCAAGUUGUAAAAUGAUUCACACUAUACGUAGUAUCAAGGCUAACCAUAAUAUACUGGUACGGAAUAUCAUUGUGAGUGCUAAUCUGACUUGUGAGUGAUCUUUGGAGAGAUUAACCAAAGAAUAAUACAAUAAAUUUGUUUUGAAAGAAAUAGGCUCACGAACAAUGAAAUUUUGUGCCACUGUUGGAGUUACAUACUUGGUAUUCGUUUUUAAUUAAUUAACUAUAUUUAAGGGUUUAAGUUUAUGGUUAACACUACUACAUUUUCAAUCUUUUGGUUGAGUGAUAAAAAAUAAGUUUAUUUGUAUACAGCAGUUAUUUUAUAUAUUUUGUUAUUUUUUCUUUUUUUUUUUUCUAGUGAAAGGAUGUUCCAAGUACUCAUGUAAGGACAAUCUGGUUUUUGAAAACUACUCAAACUACUGUAUGCUGAAAAUAGAAGAAAACAGUAUACAGUGUGCGCUGAAAGCAUCAGUUGAUACAGCAGAGUUCAAAAGCCACGUAAAUUAUUGCACUGCAUUUAAGGUUGACAUAUACCUUAUGGUAAUAGAGUACUAAAGUAUGAGUAACUAUUUCAAGAUUUAUAGGUUAUGUAUGGUAUGGUAUUCAGAUUUAUUCAUUGAAAGGUUUUUUUUUCUGUAGUUUAUAGAUAAUUAGAUUUAUUUAAAAAGGGAGAGUUUUAUUUUGUCCAUUUGAGAUUUAUAAUUUCAAUCAGGAAAAUAUCUAUUUUUUUCAUCUUCAAAUUGCAGAAUAAUUUGAGAUUGUUUUAGUAUGCAUAUGCCGAUUUUUUUCAAAAGCAACAAAUUUAAUUUCUUAAUAUGUACAUCUUUGUUUUUUUUCUGUAGUUUAUAGAUAAUUAGAUUUAUUUAAAAAGGGAGUUUUAUUUUGUCCAUUUGAGAUUUAUAAUUUCAAUCAGGAAAAUAUCUAAUUUUUUCAUCUUCAAAUUGCAGAAUAAUUUAUGAGAUUAAUUGUUUAAGCAUGCAUAUGCCAAUUUUUUUUUCACAAGCAACAAAUUUAAUUUCUUAUUGUAUACAUCUUUAUGUACUUUUGUAAAUAAUACUUCUAAAUCUCUGGUACUGUCAGCAUUUUGCUAAUUCUUGAGUCUUUUCAAUAAACAACUUUAAAUCAUA
This is a long non-coding RNA of Macrobrachium nipponense, 1823 nucleotides long. RefSeq lists it as uncharacterized. NCBI's taxonomy places the organism in Eukaryota, Metazoa, Arthropoda, Malacostraca, Decapoda, Palaemonidae. The transcript has 2 exons. The record is from RefSeq and is a predicted model, not a curated record.